This 65-nucleotide transfer RNA is filed under the name Potamilus streckersoni. RNAcentral's name for it is "tRNA-Asn". It matches the Rfam family "tRNA". From Rfam's summary of the family: Transfer RNA (tRNA) molecules are approximately 80 nucleotides in length. Their secondary structure includes four short double-helical elements and three loops (D, anti-codon, and T loops). The record is from RNAcentral. Lineage: Eukaryota; Metazoa; Mollusca; Bivalvia; Unionida; Unionidae.
GGGGAUGAAGCUUAUAUAGCAAUUGGCUGUUACCUAAUAGAUAGUGAUUAUAUUCACCUACCCCA